CCAAAGAAUUAGAAGGCCAGUCUGGCAUGAAUGCAUGUCAGGAUGCCUGCCAAUCAUGCAGCUGGCCAUACUAUGCAGACAGCACCCUGAGCUUGGCAUAAAUGCAUCUAAUUAUGCGCUCACUCAACGCUUUCUAAGGACUGUUUCCUAGCACUCGCUGGUCCACUUGUCUUCUUACCUUCUUACUAGCAGGCAGAAGCUCCUGGUAUAUAGUCUGGGACAGAGAAAAGCUGUAUGUAGUGAGUGUAGAAGAAAUGGAACAUGCCACAGUGUUAGAGAGACCAAAGUCAGCAUUACCUUAAAGGAUCACUAUAGGGUCAGGAACACAAACAUGAAUUCAUGACCCUAUAGUGUUAACACCAC
This is a non-coding RNA of Pelobates cultripes (western spadefoot toad), 363 nucleotides long. NCBI's taxonomy places the organism in Eukaryota, Metazoa, Chordata, Amphibia, Anura, Pelobatidae. The record is from the annotation of a GenBank genome assembly.